GACGGAGGAGGCUAGCGUUGUUCGGAAUCACUGGGCGUAAAGCGCACGUAGGCGGUGUUGUAAGUUAGGGGUGAAAGCCCGGGGCUCAACCUCGGAACUGCCUCUAAGACUGCAACGCUAGAGUUCGGAAGAGGGUAGUGGAAUUCCCAGUGUAGAGGUGAAAUUCGUAGAUAUUGGGAAGAACACCGGUGGCGAAGGCGGCUACCUGGUCCGACACUGACGCUGAGGUGCGAAAGCGUGGGGAGCAAACAGG
RNAcentral lists this ribosomal RNA (253 nucleotides) under uncultured bacterium. RNAcentral describes it as "partial 16S ribosomal RNA". It matches the Rfam family "Bacterial small subunit ribosomal RNA", at positions 524 to 776 of the family's 1533-position model. The record is from RNAcentral.